This 2786-nucleotide ribosomal RNA is filed under the name Escherichia coli. RNAcentral's name for it is "bacterial LSU rRNA". It matches the Rfam family "Bacterial large subunit ribosomal RNA". Lineage: Bacteria; Pseudomonadati; Pseudomonadota; Gammaproteobacteria; Enterobacterales; Enterobacteriaceae. The record is from RNAcentral.
AGCGUACACGGUGGAUGCCCUGGCAGUCAGAGGCGAUGAAGGACGUGCUAAUCUGCGAUAAGCGUCGGUAAGGUGAUAUGAACCGUUAUAACCGGCGAUUUCCGAAUGGGGAAACCCAGUGUGAUUCGUCACACUAUCAUUAACUGAAUCCAUAGGUUAAUGAGGCGAACCGGGGGAACUGAAACAUCUAAGUACCCCGAGGAAAAGAAAUCAACCGAGAUUCCCCCAGUAGCGGCGAGCGAACGGGGAGCAGCCCAGAGCCUGAAUCAGUGUGUGUGUUAGUGGAAGCGUCUGGAAAGGCGCGCGAUACAGGGUGACAGCCCCGUACACAAAAAUGCACAUGCUGUGAGCUCGAUGAGUAGGGCGGGACACGUGGUAUCCUGUCUGAAUAUGGGGGGACCAUCCUCCAAGGCUAAAUACUCCUGACUGACCGAUAGUGAACCAGUACCGUGAGGGAAAGGCGAAAAGAACCCCGGCGAGGGGAGUGAAAAAGAACCUGAAACCGUGUACGUACAAGCAGUGGGAGCCUCUUUAUGGGGUGACUGCGUACCUUUUGUAUAAUGGGUCAGCGACUUAUAUUCUGUAGCAAGGUUAACCGAAUAGGGGAGCCGAAGGGAAACCGAGUCUUAACUGGGCGUUAAGUUGCAGGGUAUAGACCCGAAACCCGGUGAUCUAGCCAUGGGCAGGUUGAAGGUUGGGUAACACUAACUGGAGGACCGAACCGACUAAUGUUGAAAAAUUAGCGGAUGACUUGUGGCUGGGGGUGAAAGGCCAAUCAAACCGGGAGAUAGCUGGUUCUCCCCGAAAGCUAUUUAGGUAGCGCCUCGUGAAUUCAUCUCCGGGGGUAGAGCACUGUUUCGGCAAGGGGGUCAUCCCGACUUACCAACCCGAUGCAAACUGCGAAUACCGGAGAAUGUUAUCACGGGAGACACACGGCGGGUGCUAACGUCCGUCGUGAAGAGGGAAACAACCCAGACCGCCAGCUAAGGUCCCAAAGUCAUGGUUAAGUGGGAAACGAUGUGGGAAGGCCCAGACAGCCAGGAUGUUGGCUUAGAAGCAGCCAUCAUUUAAAGAAAGCGUAAUAGCUCACUGGUCGAGUCGGCCUGCGCGGAAGAUGUAACGGGGCUAAACCAUGCACCGAAGCUGCGGCAGCGACGCUUAUGCGUUGUUGGGUAGGGGAGCGUUCUGUAAGCCUGCGAAGGUGUGCUGUGAGGCAUGCUGGAGGUAUCAGAAGUGCGAAUGCUGACAUAAGUAACGAUAAAGCGGGUGAAAAGCCCGCUCGCCGGAAGACCAAGGGUUCCUGUCCAACGUUAAUCGGGGCAGGGUGAGUCGACCCCUAAGGCGAGGCCGAAAGGCGUAGUCGAUGGGAAACAGGUUAAUAUUCCUGUACUUGGUGUUACUGCGAAGGGGGGACGGAGAAGGCUAUGUUGGCCGGGCGACGGUUGUCCCGGUUUAAGCGUGUAGGCUGGUUUUCCAGGCAAAUCCGGAAAAUCAAGGCUGAGGCGUGAUGACGAGGCACUACGGUGCUGAAGCAACAAAUGCCCUGCUUCCAGGAAAAGCCUCUAAGCAUCAGGUAACAUCAAAUCGUACCCCAAACCGACACAGGUGGUCAGGUAGAGAAUACCAAGGCGCUUGAGAGAACUCGGGUGAAGGAACUAGGCAAAAUGGUGCCGUAACUUCGGGAGAAGGCACGCUGAUAUGUAGGUGAAGUCCCUCGCGGAUGGAGCUGAAAUCAGUCGAAGAUACCAGCUGGCUGCAACUGUUUAUUAAAAACACAGCACUGUGCAAACACGAAAGUGGACGUAUACGGUGUGACGCCUGCCCGGUGCCGGAAGGUUAAUUGAUGGGGUCAGCGCAAGCGAAGCUCUUGAUCGAAGCCCCGGUAAACGGCGGCCGUAACUAUAACGGUCCUAAGGUAGCGAAAUUCCUUGUCGGGUAAGUUCCGACCUGCACGAAUGGCGUAAUGAUGGCCAGGCUGUCUCCACCCGAGACUCAGUGAAAUUGAACUCGCUGUGAAGAUGCAGUGUACCCGCGGCAAGACGGAAAGACCCCGUGAACCUUUACUAUAGCUUGACACUGAACAUUGAGCCUUGAUGUGUAGGAUAGGUGGGAGGCUUUGAAGUGUGGACGCCAGUCUGCAUGGAGCCGACCUUGAAAUACCACCCUUUAAUGUUUGAUGUUCUAACGUUGACCCGUAAUCCGGGUUGCGGACAGUGUCUGGUGGGUAGUUUGACUGGGGCGGUCUCCUCCUAAAGAGUAACGGAGGAGCACGAAGGUUGGCUAAUCCUGGUCGGACAUCAGGAGGUUAGUGCAAUGGCAUAAGCCAGCUUGACUGCGAGCGUGACGGCGCGAGCAGGUGCGAAAGCAGGUCAUAGUGAUCCGGUGGUUCUGAAUGGAAGGGCCAUCGCUCAACGGAUAAAAGGUACUCCGGGGAUAACAGGCUGAUACCGCCCAAGAGUUCAUAUCGACGGCGGUGUUUGGCACCUCGAUGUCGGCUCAUCACAUCCUGGGGCUGAAGUAGGUCCCAAGGGUAUGGCUGUUCGCCAUUUAAAGUGGUACGCGAGCUGGGUUUAGAACGUCGUGAGACAGUUCGGUCCCUAUCUGCCGUGGGCGCUGGAGAACUGAGGGGGGCUGCUCCUAGUACGAGAGGACCGGAGUGGACGCAUCACUGGUGUUCGGGUUGUCAUGCCAAUGGCACUGCCCGGUAGCUAAAUGCGGAAGAGAUAAGUGCUGAAAGCAUCUAAGCACGAAACUUGCCCCGAGAUGAGUUCUCCCUGACUCCUUGA